Molecule: ribosomal RNA, 255 nt
Filed under: uncultured bacterium
Lineage: Bacteria
Description: partial 16S ribosomal RNA
Rfam family: Bacterial small subunit ribosomal RNA
Source: RNAcentral
CACGUAGGGGGCAAGCGUUGUCCGGAUUUAUUGGGCGUAAAGAGCUCGUAGGCUGUUCGAUAAGUCGGGUGUGAAACCUCCAGGCUCAACCUGGAGACGCCACCCGAUACUGUCAUGACUAGAGUCCGGUAGGGGAGCGUGGAAUUCCUGGUGUAGCGGUGAAAUGACGCAGAUAUCAGGAGGAACACCAGCGGCGAAGGCGGCGCUCUGGGCCGGUACUGACGCUGAGGAGCGAAAGCGUGGGUAGCAAACAGG